Molecule: long non-coding RNA, 315 nt
Filed under: Prunus persica (peach)
Lineage: Eukaryota; Viridiplantae; Streptophyta; Magnoliopsida; Rosales; Rosaceae
Description: long non-coding RNA (PPER_LNC003418)
Source: RNAcentral
UCCGAUAUCGAUUGGUCCUUGAAAUCGGACAAUUCAGGUUCGUACGAAGUUCGUUCUGAAAUGGAGUGGUUGGUGUAUUGUAUAGUUCUAGAGAUUAGAUUUUACUCAAAACCCACCAAAUGACUACUCCCACAAUAUUAUGAUGUUCCCCAAGUUCUGUACUCAAUCCGAUAUCAAUUGGUUAAUGAAAUUGGACAAUUCAGAUUCGUACGAAGUUCGUUCCGAAACGGAGUGGUUGGUGUAUUGUAUAGUUCUAGGGAUUAGAUUUCACUCAAAACCCACCAAAUGACUACUCCCACAAUAUUAUGAUGUUCC